Molecule: ribosomal RNA, 253 nt
Filed under: uncultured bacterium
Lineage: Bacteria
Description: partial 16S ribosomal RNA
Rfam family: Bacterial small subunit ribosomal RNA
Source: RNAcentral
UACAGAGGUUCCGAGCGUUGUUCGGAUUCACUGGGCGUAAAGGGCGCGCAGGUGGCCUGUCAAGUUUAAUGUGAAAGCCCCGGGCUUAACCUGGGAAUGGCAUUUGGGACUGCAAGGCUUGAGUGCGGCAGAGGAGACUGGAAUUCCUGGUGUAGCAGUGAAAUGCGUAGAUAUCAGGAGGAAUACCGAUGGCGAAGGCAGGUCUCUGGGCUGACACUGACGCUCAUGCACGAAAGCGUGGGGAGCAAACAGG